UGGACAAUGGGCGAAAGCCUGAUCCAGCCAUGCCGCGUGUGUGAAGAAGGUCUUCGGAUUGUAAAGCACUUUAAGUUGGGAGGAAGGGCAGUAAGUUAAUACCUUGCUGUUUUGACGUUACCAACAGAAUAAGCACCGGCUAACUUCGUGCCAGCAGCCGCGGUAAUACGAAGGGUGCAAGCGUUAAUCGGAAUUACUGGGCGUAAAGCGCGCGUAGGUGGUUCAGCAAGUUGGAUGUGAAAUCCCCGGGCUCAACCUGGGAACUGCAUCCAAAACUACUGAGCUAGAGUACGGUAGAGGGUGGUGGAAUUUCCUGUGUAGCGGUGAAAUGCGUAGAUAUAGGAAGGAACACCAGUGGCGAAGGCGACCACCUGGACUGAUACUGACACUGAGGUGCGAAAGCGUGGGGAGCAAACAGGAGUAGAUACCCUGGUAGUCCACGCCGUACACGAUGUCGACUAGCCGUUGGGAUCCUUGAGAUCUUACUGGCGCCUCUAACGCGAUAAGUCGACCGCCUGGGGAGGACGGCCGCCAGGUUAAAACUCAAAUGAAUUGACAGG
Molecule: ribosomal RNA, 560 nt
Filed under: Pseudomonas aeruginosa
Lineage: Bacteria; Pseudomonadati; Pseudomonadota; Gammaproteobacteria; Pseudomonadales; Pseudomonadaceae
Description: bacterial SSU rRNA
Rfam family: Bacterial small subunit ribosomal RNA
Source: RNAcentral